Molecule: long non-coding RNA, 348 nt
Organism: Salarias fasciatus (jewelled blenny)
Lineage: Eukaryota; Metazoa; Chordata; Actinopteri; Blenniiformes; Blenniidae
Exons: 3
Source: RefSeq, a predicted model, not a curated record
ACACAGCUUUUCACAAGCCUCAACACAUUUCACUACUCAUUCAACACAGUUAAUAGUCCCUGAAGAGCCUCACAUUUGUGACAUCGCAGCCCAUCCUGGGUCUCUCCUCUUUUCUCUCUUAACAUACUCCGGUUCCCUGAUUUCCAGUGUGUGUGGAGUGAUUCGAGGUGACCUCGUUACGGAGGAUGACAAUACAACAAAAGAAUGGGGUUAUGAAAUCGAGAAAUUCUAUUUCCACCCUCCUGGCCAUUCAUCUCCCUGUAAGAAGAGGAUUCAUUAUAUGGUACCCUCUCUUCACUAUCCUGUGAAUUUGCAUACUCCGCAUAUAUAUGCCCACACACGCACACG